Molecule: long non-coding RNA, 388 nt
Filed under: Lupinus angustifolius (narrow-leaved blue lupine)
Lineage: Eukaryota; Viridiplantae; Streptophyta; Magnoliopsida; Fabales; Fabaceae
Description: long non-coding RNA (LANG_LNC001137)
Source: RNAcentral
AACAAUCUUAAAAUAUUACAAAAGAUCUGUUGAAAGGAGCUCUUGGUAUGCAAUGAUCCGUAUUGAAGAGUAACGGAAGAACGUCUUAUGCUUUAAGAGCAAGUUACAUGAUCUUGCAGCUAGAAGAGUUUUUUUUUACAAUAAUGGACAAUUGGAUUGUGUUCUAGCAGAAAUGUCACAACAUGGCAACAACAACAACAACAACAAGAUCAACAAUAUCAACAACAACAACAACAUGAUCAACAAUAUCAACAACAACAAGAUCAAUAAGAUCAACAACAACAACAACAAGAUCAACAACAAGAUCAAGUGAUUGAGAAAAUCCAAUCACGUUAGGAUCGAAAUUUCGAUCCAUUACAUUGUCACGAUAUCAAAUUGAAUUAUCAAG